RNAcentral lists this ribosomal RNA (1224 nucleotides) under uncultured archaeon. Its description in RNAcentral is "bacterial SSU rRNA". It matches the Rfam family "Archaeal small subunit ribosomal RNA", at positions 60 to 1284 of the family's 1478-position model. The record is from RNAcentral.
GGUGCUUCUUCUUCGGAAGAGGCAACCGGCAGACGGCUCAGUAACACGUGGAUAACUUACCCUUGGGAUCGGGAUAACCCCGGGAAACUGGGGCUAAUAUCGGAUAGAGCAUCGAUCGCUGGAAUGCACGAUGUUCGAAAGCUGCGGCGCCCAAGGAUAGGUCUAUGGCCGAUUAGGUUGUUGUUGAUGUAACGGAUCAACAAGCCUCCGAUCGGUACGGGUUGUGAGAGCAAUAGCCCGGAGAUGGGUUCUGAGAGAAGAACCCAGGUCCUACGGGACGCAUCAGGCGCGAAAACUUUACAAUGUGCGAAAGCACGAUAAGGGAACUCUGAGUGCCUCUUAAGGAGGCUGUUCAGAUGUCUAAAAAGCAUCUGAAGGAAGGGCUGGGUAAGACUGGUGCCAGCCGCCGCGGUAACACCAGCAGCCCAAGUGGUAGUCAUGUUUACUGGGUCUAAAGCGUCCGUAGCCGGCUGGGUAAGUUCCUUGGGAAAUUUGAUCGCUUAACGAUCAAGCUACCUGGGGAUACUACUUGGCUUGGGACUGGGAGAGGUUAGAGGUACCUUAAGGGUAGGGGUGAAAUCCGUUAAUCCUUGGGGGACCACCAGUAGCGAAGGCGUCUGACCAGACCGGAUCCGACGGUGAGGGACGAAGGCUAGGGGAGCGAACCGGAUUAGAUACCCGGGUAGUCCUAGCUGUAAACGAUGCGGGCUAGGUGUUGGCAUUACUGCGAGUGAUGCCAGUGCCGAAGGGAAGCUGUUAAGCCCGCCAUCUGGGGAGUACGGUCGCAAGGCUGAAACUUAAAGGAAUUGGCGGGGGAGCACCACAACGGGUGGAGCUUGCGGUUCAAUUGGAUUCAACGCCGGAAAUCUCACCGGAGGCGACAGCGAGAUGAAGGUCAGGCUAAAGACCUUACCGGAUUAGCUGAGAGGUGGUGCAUGGCCGUCGGCAGUUCGUGUUGUGAAACAUCCUGUUAAGUCAGGCAACGGGCGAGACCCGUGCUCACAGUUGCCAGCAUCUCGAAAGAGGAUGGGCACUCUGUGGGGACCGCCACCGCUAAGGUGGAGGAAGAGGCGGGCCACGGUAGGUCAGUAUGCCCCGAAUCCUCCGGGCUACACGCGUGCUACAAUGGGUAGUACAAUGGGUAUCGACUCCGAAAGGGGAAGGUAAUCCCCUAAAGCCACCCUCAGUUGGGAUCGAGGGCUGCAACUCGCCCUCGUGAACCUG